GUUCUACCUUGACGAAUUGUAGUUUAAAGAAGUGUUUUCUGUUAGAGGAGUAGCAAAAGUUCCUUGGAAUGGGACAUCAUAGAGGGUGAGAAUCCCGUAUUUGGUUAUUCUUUCUAGCUUUGUGAUACACUUUCAAAGAGUCGGAUUGUUUGGGAAUGCAGUCCAAAAUGGGUGGUAAAUUUCAUCUAAAGCUAAAUAUUGGCGAGAGACCGAUAGCGAACAAGUACCGUGAGGGAAAGAUGAAAAGAACUUUGAAAAGAGAGUUAAACAGUACGUGAAAUUGUCAAAAGGGAAGCGUCUGACACCAGUGUUGUUUUUCCGAAAAUCAAUUAAGAAGGACUUGAUUUUGUGUUGUAUUGACCUUAUCAGCUUUCUUCACUCUUUUUCGAGUCUUUCUU
RNAcentral lists this ribosomal RNA (398 nucleotides) under uncultured Neocallimastigomycetes. Its description in RNAcentral is "eukaryotic LSU rRNA". It matches the Rfam family "Eukaryotic large subunit ribosomal RNA", at positions 127 to 522 of the family's 3401-position model. Lineage: Eukaryota; Fungi; Neocallimastigomycota; Neocallimastigomycetes. The record is from RNAcentral.